UGGUGGAGUGAUUUGUCUGGUUAAUUCCGAUAACGAACGAGACCUUAACCUGCUAAAUAGCCAGGCUAGCUUUGGCUGGUCGCCGGCUUCUUAGAGAGACUAUCAACUCAAGUUGAUGGAAGUUUGAGGCAAUAACA
RNAcentral lists this ribosomal RNA (137 nucleotides) under uncultured eukaryote. Its description in RNAcentral is "partial 18S ribosomal RNA". It matches the Rfam family "Eukaryotic small subunit ribosomal RNA", at positions 1299 to 1458 of the family's 1831-position model. The record is from RNAcentral.